This 74-nucleotide transfer RNA is filed under the name Candidatus Pollutiaquabacter sp. RNAcentral describes it as "tRNA-Arg". It matches the Rfam family "tRNA". From Rfam's summary of the family: Transfer RNA (tRNA) molecules are approximately 80 nucleotides in length. Their secondary structure includes four short double-helical elements and three loops (D, anti-codon, and T loops). Lineage: Bacteria; Pseudomonadati; Bacteroidota; Bacteroidia; Candidatus Pollutiaquabacterales; Candidatus Pollutiaquabacteraceae. The record is from RNAcentral.
GGUCCCGGAGCUCAACUGGAUAGAGCAGCUGCCUUCUAAGCAGCCGGUUGGGCGUUCGAGUCGCCCCGGGAUCA